CAUGCCGCGUGUGUGAAAAGGCCUUCGGGUUGUAAAGCACUUUUGUCCGGAAAGAAAGCGUCCUGGCUAAUACCUGGGAUGGAUGACGGUACCGGAAGAAUAAGCACCGGCUAACUACGUGCCAGCAGCCGCGGUAAUACGUAGGGUGCGAGCGUUAAUCGGAAUUACUGGGCGUAAAGCGUGCGCAGGCGGUUUUGUAAGACAGGCGUGAAAUCCCCGGGCUCAACCUGGGAAUUGCGCUUGUGACUGCAAGGCUAGAGUGCGUCAGAGGGGGGUAGAAUUCCACGUGUAGCAGUGAAAUGCGUAGAGAUGUGGAGGAAUACCGAUGGCGAAGGCAGCCCCCUGGGACGUGACUGACGCUCAUGCACGAAAGCGUGGGGAGCAAACA
Molecule: ribosomal RNA, 388 nt
Filed under: Ralstonia sp. 3CB3C
Lineage: Bacteria; Pseudomonadati; Pseudomonadota; Betaproteobacteria; Burkholderiales; Burkholderiaceae
Description: bacterial SSU rRNA
Rfam family: Bacterial small subunit ribosomal RNA
Source: RNAcentral